AGCGAACGCUGGCGGCAGGCUUAACACAUGCAAGUCGAGCGCCCCGCCAGGGGAGCGGCAGACGGGUGAGUAACACGUGGGAACGUACCCUUUGGUUCGGAACAACCCAGGGAAACUUGGGCUAAUACCGGAUAAGUCCGCGAGGAGAAAGAUUUAUCGCCGAAGGAUCGGCCCGCGUCUGAUUAGCUAGUUGGUGUGGUAACGGCGCACCAAGGCGACGAUCAGUAGCUGGUCUGAGAGGAUGAUCAGCCACACUGGGACUGAGACACGGCCCAGACUCCUACGGGAGGCAGCAGUGGGGAAUAUUGGACAAUGGGGGCAACCCUGAUCCAGCCAUGCCGCGUGAGUGAUGAAGGCCCUAGGGUUGUAAAGCUCUUUCGGUGGGGAAGAUAAUGACGGUACCCACAGAAGAAGCCCCGGCUAACUUCGUG
This 431-nucleotide ribosomal RNA is filed under the name uncultured bacterium. RNAcentral describes it as "partial 16S ribosomal RNA". It matches the Rfam family "Bacterial small subunit ribosomal RNA", at positions 29 to 507 of the family's 1533-position model. The record is from RNAcentral.